Molecule: ribosomal RNA, 468 nt
Filed under: uncultured bacterium
Lineage: Bacteria
Description: partial 16S ribosomal RNA
Rfam family: Bacterial small subunit ribosomal RNA
Source: RNAcentral
GACGAACGCUGGCGGCGUGCUUAACACAUGCAAGUCGAACGGAAAGGCCCUGCUUUUGUGGGGUGCUCGAGUGGCGAACGGGUGAGUAACACGUGAGUAACCUGCCCUUGACUUUGGGAUAACUUCAGGAAACUGGGGCUAAUACCGGAUAGGAGCUCCUGCUGCAUGGUGGGGGUUGGAAAGUUUCGGCGGUUGGGGAUGGACUCGCGGCUUAUCAGCUUGCUGGUGGGGUAGUGGCUUACCAAGGCUUUGACGGGUAGCCGGCCUGAGAGGGUGACCGGCCACAUUGGGACUGAGAUACGGCCCAGACUCCUACGGGAGGCAGCAGUGGGGAAUAUUGCACAAUGGGCGGAAGCCUGAUGUAGCAACGCCGCGUGCGGGAUGACGGCCUUCGGGUUGUAAACCGCUUUCGCCUGUGACGAAGCGUGAGUGACGGUAAUGGGUAAAGAAGCACCGGCUAACUACGUG